Molecule: ribosomal RNA, 517 nt
Filed under: uncultured bacterium
Lineage: Bacteria
Description: bacterial SSU rRNA
Rfam family: Bacterial small subunit ribosomal RNA
Source: RNAcentral
CCCUUCGGGGAGUGCAUAAAGUGGCGCACGGGUGAGUAACACGUAAGUAAUCUACCUUCGAGUGGGGAAUAACCCGGGGAAACCCGAGCUAAUACCGCAUAAUGCAGCGGCAUCGCAAGAUGACAGUUGUUAAAGGAGCAAUCCGCUUGAAGAGGAGCUUGCGGCAGAUUAGCUAGUUGGUAAGGUAAUGGCUUACCAAGGCUACGAUCUGUAUCCGGUCUAAGAGGACGGUCGGACACACUGACACUGAAUAACGGGUCAGACUCCUACGGGAGGCAGCAGUCGGGAAUUUUGGGCAAUGGGCGAAAGCCUGACCCAGCAACGCCGCGUGAAGGAUGAAGUAUUUCGGUAUGUAAACUUCGAAAGAAUGGGAAGAAUAAAUGACGGUACCAUUUAUAAGCUCCGGCUAACUACGUGCCAGCAGCCGCGGUAAUACGUAGGGAGCAAGCGUUGUUCGGAUUUACUGGGCGUAAAGGGCGCGUAGGCGGCGCGGUAAGUCACCUGUGAAAUCUCUGAG